AAAGAUGAGAGAGUUUUCGCUUACAAUGAAGAUCACCUUUUAAGGCAUUUUUAU
RNAcentral lists this transfer RNA (54 nucleotides) under Pandorites podoceroides. RNAcentral describes it as "tRNA-Val". The record is from RNAcentral. Lineage: Eukaryota; Metazoa; Arthropoda; Malacostraca; Amphipoda; Pontogammaridae.